ACCAGAAAAGGAAAGCGUUUAUACAUCAGCAGACAAAGGAGUAUGCUUGUAAAUGAUCACAUACCCACACGCACGCACGCACACACACACACAUACAUACAUGCGCGCAGAACGCUGCAGAGAGCUGUGCGAUCCGGUGUGCGUCAGGAGUCAUUGAGAAGCGCCUCCAUCCAUCUGAGAGAGAAACAGAGAGAGAGAGAGAACGCGCCUCCUUCCGUCUGUGUAUGUGAGAGAGGGAGGCAGGGAGGGAAAGAGAGAGAAAGAAGACGCGGAGAGAGGCAUCUACCCGGAGAACAACGGUCCCUCACCUUAACGAUGAUUUAACGAGUGGAUUCUUCCAUCGCAGCAAGAAACAUUGAAGACAAAGGACAGCGAUCUGCGCAGGAGGUACGCAUAGUUUUGUUAGUACGGAUUUGUGCCAGUUUCUGUCUCAGCAGCAUUGGACACAGUAUGGAAGCCAACCCUGGAUAGGGAGCCAGACCAUCAUAAGACACACUCACAUAUUCUAUACAAAACAAUUUAAUUAUUUAUGUGACGGGGAAUAUGCUAACUUCACACAGACUGCACCCAAAAUUCAGAAUUUGAACCCUGGAUUCUUGAGCUGGGUAGGGACCUAUAUCUUAUAAUUUCUUAAUUAGGGUUUUUAAUUUUUCAUUUACUUAUUUUGGAUGGCACCAAUGGGCAAUAAGAGUUUUCACAUUGUUUAAUGGUACGCAGUGGUGCAAAGCCAACCCCGUUAAUUAUUGAUUUUCACUGUAAAAACACUACCAGUAGCCUAGAGCAUACUGAAACAUAAUCUAUCCAAAAAUAAAAACUGUUCAUAGACCAUUUUCAAGAUAUAUAAUUAAGACAUUUGGGUGAGCUUUUUGAUUUAAUCUCCACUGCUGAUUCACAAUGUGACCCUCUCUCAAUUUGUAUAUAGAUAUGUAAAAUACUUUAUGAUAGUUUUCAUGAUUAAAUAUAGAAAACAAAAGGCAUGAUAUUUGGUAGUCUACUGACCCAAAAGACAGACUUAAUUUGAAUUUGGCAUAACAUUCUAUUGUGGAACAAAACAGACACAGUGGUUAACAUUGCUGCCUUACAGUUUCUGGAACCUGGUUUCCAUUCCUGUUGAAAAUAGGUCCAGUGUCCACAUAGGUUUCCAGUGGGCACUCUAAUUUCCUCCCACAGACUUAUAAUGAUAACAGGAGACUCUAAAUUGGCCUGAAAUGAGAGAAAGUAAGGAUAUUGUGGUAUUCUAUCCAGGGCUGGGUUCUGUGUUACAUUUGUUGCUGCUGAAUUUGGCUGCAUUUCCCUGUGAACCUGUAAAGAAAGAAAAAAAAUUAAAAAUAGAUUUGUGAAUAGAUACAAUUCUAUCCCUGAGUUCCACAGCCAAACAAAAAUUAUUUUUGACGUAACUCUUUUGUCACAAAUUCUCAGUGUUUCAGUAAACAAAAUACAAAUAAAAAACUGACAGUAAUUUGUAUAAUCCCAGAAUUGCAUAACUGACAGCAGCUCUGUCAGGGGAAAAAACUUCACAUGGCUCCAUCCCAGGGCCCUGCCCCUUUGAUCCCACCUCUAGACUAUUAAACUAUAGCAACCUCAGAGGCUUUUGCAUGUCCUCUCCCACAAACCCCCCCCCCCCCCCCACCCCCAGCCCAGCCUUAGAGCCCACGCUCACCCCACCUUAUCUCGCAAUGCGCUUAUGCCAGCAUGCAGGCAGCACAGCAACUGUGAAGCAACUGCUGUUUUUUUCUUUUUUCAUAUUUCUUCUGUUUCUCUCCAUUUUUUAAUUUUUUAACCAAAAGACAAAUGUAGCAUUUGACUCUAGCAAUAGUCUUCCUAGACGAAUAUACUGUGUUCACGCAUCUCAUGAAUUAAACAGCAAUCUGCUCACUUAUGAUUUGUAUAAUAAAAGAAAAAAAAAAGAUGAAGUGUUGUGUGCUUGUUGACUAAGAUUGUGGGGUUGAUUUCUAAUUCCAGGAGGCCAAGCUAAAAGGAAACUGCUCAGACUCUGCUUCACACGAUAGCGGCAAGGUUUUCAUCCACAGUGAGGAAGACAUAACCAAUUUAUAGGUUUUGAGGUCUUAAUCAAUGUACAAGAUAAGGAUUGGGGUAGGGACUCAUGAAUUCUCCAUAGACCAAGGAGCAUAUAUCAGGCUUCACAUGGUUAUCUUUCAUGCAUGGUAAGCUCCACGGUGUAAGUGAAGUGCAAUCUCAAGCAAUUUAUUUUUCUGGAUUUUUCCAGUCUGACCUUCAAUGAUGCAGAAGGAGAAAUAAAGUAUCUCUCUUUCUUGGUACUGGGUGGGGGGCCAUUUGCCUUGCACUGAGUCCUUAUGUAAUAGUAAUCCAAAAGUUACCAAUGUCUUCCCUUUACAGUCUGAUCCACCCCAACCCCCUUCACCUGAAAUGCCCCAUUAUUUACUCCUUCUUUGCCUUUGUACAAGGAAAAACACUGAGAAAGAAGGCCAGGAUGCCAGUCUAUGCAACUGUACUUACAUAACCCUGAAGUUCUCACUUAACCUACUAGUGCUCUAAUCCUGGAAAAUAUGUAUUUAUACCAUAAAUAUUGAUUUCUAAGUCACUUUGGAUAAAUACUUUUGCAUUUACAUUUUUAGUAUAUGUACCAGCUACACAGUGUCAGAACCCAGUUACUAGUAUUAAUCAGGAGCCAUAAACGGAGACAAGAUUAGCAAAGCGUGGAUUAACCUGAACAGCCAUUUAGACCAUUGACCCUUUGUUGUGGAAUUAUAAUAGUUCAUGAUUCACCAUAUGCUUCAAUAAAAGUUGUUAAAUUGAAGUCCUGGCACAUCAAAUUCCAAUUAGCCAUUAUUUCUCCACUGGGGUUUUAGAUUUGUGUUUUGUGCCAUUUGGGGUUCUUGUCAAGACACUAAAAAGUACAAAAAAGGGUAGUAGGGAAUUUCUCAUUUGGGAAUAACCAAGAAUCUGAGCUGGCAACAGCAUCUAAGAAAUUGACAUAAACAUGAACCAACUCAUCUCAAAGUAGUACCUCUGCU
Erpetoichthys calabaricus (reedfish) is the source of this 2996-nucleotide RNA transcript. It is a transcript of the gene named GTP-binding protein Di-Ras1, with no coding region annotated. The record is from RefSeq and is a predicted model, not a curated record. NCBI's taxonomy places the organism in Eukaryota, Metazoa, Chordata, Cladistia, Polypteriformes, Polypteridae. The transcript is spliced from 2 exons.